AAAUUGAAGAGUUUGAUCAUGGCUCAGAUUGAACGCUGGCGGCAGGCCUAACACAUGCAAGUCGAACGGUAACAGGAAACAGCUUGCUGUUUCGCUGACGAGUGGCGGACGGGUGAGUAAUGUCUGGGAAACUGCCUGAUGGAGGGGGAUAACUACUGGAAACGGUAGCUAAUACCGCAUAACGUCGCAAGACCAAAGAGGGGGACCUUCGGGCCUCUUGCCAUCGGAUGUGCCCAGAUGGGAUUAGCUAGUAGGUGGGGUAACGGCUCACCUAGGCGACGAUCCCUAGCUGGUCUGAGAGGAUGACCAGCCACACUGGAACUGAGACACGGUCCAGACUCCUACGGGAGGCAGCAGUGGG
Molecule: ribosomal RNA, 361 nt
Filed under: Shigella sonnei
Lineage: Bacteria; Pseudomonadati; Pseudomonadota; Gammaproteobacteria; Enterobacterales; Enterobacteriaceae
Description: bacterial SSU rRNA
Rfam family: Bacterial small subunit ribosomal RNA
Source: RNAcentral